UCGACUCGGUGGUGCUGUACAGCCCGCGCGUGUUCCAGAAAGCCGGCAUCCGCUCCGACUCCAACUCCCUCGGUGCCACCGUCGCCGUCGGCUUCACCAAGACCGCCUUCAUCCUCGUCGCCACCUUCCUCCUCGACCGCGUUGGCCGCCGCCCACUCCUCCUCACCAGCGCCGCCGGCAUGGUCGCCUCCCUCCUCACCCUCGCCUGCGCCCUCCGCAUUAUCGACGAUCGCACCCACGACCACAGCGACGGUCACGGGAGUGCUGCUGCGGCGGUGGCGAUCGCGGCGGUGCUCAGCUUCGUGGGGUCGUUCUCGAUCGGGCUCGGCCCAAUCGCGUGGGUGUACAGCUCGGAGAUAUUCCCGCUGCGGCUGCGGGCGCAGGGGGCCAGCAUUGGGGCGGGUAUGAACCGGGUCAUAAGCGGGGUGAUAAUCAUGACCUUCAUCUCGCUCUACAACGCCAUCACCAUCUCGGGAAGCUUCUUCCUCUACGCGGGGAUCGCAGCGGUGGGGUGGGUGUUCUUUUAUGUCUUCUUGCCGGAGACGCGGGGGAGGAGCUUGGAGGACAUGGAGGUGCUGUUUGGGAAGAAGAGAGUGGAGGAGAACGAGAAGGAGAAGGAGGGAGGACAGAAGGGUGUGGUGGAGAACAAGGGAGAUGCUGAGGGUGAAAGUCAAGAGAACAAGUGUUAAAGAAGAAAAUUUGGGAUAUUGUUAGUAAUUUGUGGUGUGUGAUGCUUUAAUUAUUGGUAAAAGUAGUUAGGAUAAACUCAGCUAGUAUUUGAUACGGAAUUUGAUAGAAAGCUAUUAUGGAUGUGAAAAUUUAGCAUAAAUAUUUAUAUUUCAAUAUGUAUUUUAAAAAAUAAAAAUUAAAUAUGAAUGUGAAUAUGAUUUUUUUAAAAAAAAUCGAUUAUAUGUUACUAUUUUCGUAAGCUUUCUAUUGUAUUCUAUGUUUAUUUUUUUUUUUUGAUUUUUCUGAAAAAAUAAAAAAGACAUACAAUGACUUCUAAGUUCUAACCAGAAACUUUUUUAUUUAGUUUUUUUAGAUCUUUUGGCUGCAAAAAAUGAAAAAGAAAAAGAGCAUAUAAUGAUUAAUAGCUAGAGAAAUACGAAUUCUACAAUUCAAAAAGAAUUGGAAUAUUACAGAUAGCAUUAUUUUUUUUUAAAAAAGAAAGAAAGAAGAUAUAAUGGCCCUCAGGUUGACCCAAUUCUUUUUAUUUCAAAGAUAAUAAGGUUUAGUUAGUCCUUUCUUAAUUUCUGUAUUAAAAACCUAAUAAGACUAGUAUAAAUUUUAUGGUCCUUAAAUAAUAGUGCCAUGGGGUUAGCGCCAACCAGUGAUGGUGCAGGUUAACCAACGAUUACAGGAGUUCCCAUUCCUCUUGAUUUAUUUGUUCGCAGGUAGAGAAUAAAAAUUUUAUUAGGACCAUUUCAUGGUGAGAUUGUGAGAUCUAAAUAGUGCUAUAUAUAAGAUAUAAUAUGGCUAAAAAUUUUUAACUCGGUUUAAACAUUUUGUAUAUUGAUUAGGUCCAAGAGGUUAAGAGAGUUAAGUGUGUUAGGACGGAACUAGUCCUUGAAUGGAUGACCGGCCCCUUGGAAAGUUAGGGCAUCACAGUUGAUUUCGGAGCUAAUUACCAGCUGAAAGUGUGAGAUAAGUCUCCACUGAGUCAGAAUUAUACAGCGGGGAGAGUAAGGCUCACAUGCUAUUGACUAUUGUGGAUAGAGCGUGGCUCUCCUACAAGGUCGGUUUAGGCUAGCAAGACGAGUCUCAUAUUGCCUAAUAUUAAUUUGUGAGUCUAAAUCUGACGAUGACGUCAGGUGACUCCCUUACAAGGUCGACUUAGGCUAGCAAGAUGAGUCUCAUAUUGCCUAGUACUUGUGAGUCCGAACCUGACGAUGACGUCAGGUGGCUCCCCUAUAAGGUCGAUUUAGGCUAGCAAGACGAGUCUCAUAUCGCCUGAUACUUGUGAGUCUGAGACUGACAAGGAAGUUAAGGGUCUCCCCCAUAAGGUCGAUUUAGGCUAGCAAGACGAGCCUCAAAUCACUUGAUACUUUUGUGUCUGAGCUUGACGAGAACGUCAGGGCUUAAAGGGAGGAGAAUGUGAGACCCCAGAUAGUUCUAUAUAUAAGAUAUAAUAGGGUUAAAAACUUUAACCCAGCUUAAACAUUUUGGAAGGCGGCUAGACCCAAGAGGUUAAGAGAGUUAAGCGUGCUAGAUCGGGAGUAGUUUUAGGAUGUGUGACCUCUUGGGAAGUUGAAGCGUCACAGUUCUAGGUAAUUCUAUAUAUAAGAUAUAAUAGGGUUAAAACUCUUAACCCGGCUUAAAAAUUUUGAGCAAUGGCUAGGUCCAAGAGGUUAAAAGAGUUAGGUAUGCUAGGAUCAGAGUAGUCCUAGGAUAAGACCUCUUGAAAGUUGGGGCAUCAUAAUUGGUAUCAAAGCCAAUUACCAACCGGAAGUGUGAGACGAGUCUUGACCGUGCCAGAAUUAUACAGCGAGAAGAGCGAGACUUUUAUACUGUUGACUGUUGUGGGCAGAGCACGGCUCUCCUAUAAGGUCGGUUUAGGCUAGUGAGAUGAGUCUCACAUCGUCUUGUACUUGUGCGUCUAAACCUGACGAGGAUAUCAGGACUUAAAGGGGGAGAAUGUGAGAUCCCAUGUAAUCCUAUAUAUAAGAUAUGAUAGGGCUAAAACUCUUACCUGGCUUAAGCAAUUUGAGCGGUGGCUAGGCCCAAGAGGUUAAAAGAGUUAAGCGUGCUGGGAUGGGAGUAGUCUUAGCAUGGAUAACCUCCUAAAAAGUUGGGGCAUCAAAUAAGGUUAAGAGAACAAAGCGUGCUAGAACAUGAGUAGUUCUAGAAAAGAUAACCCCUUGGGAACGUCACAGAGAUCAUGAAAUUUAUUGUGCAGUGCUAUACGUAAUGAUUGGAAAAAAUACAUAAAUACGCUACAUAUGAUGUCCACAAAGUUAGGGCUUUGGAAAUUACCGUGGCAUGCGUUGCAAAAGGUUUGACGUAUCAGAGAUUUUGAUGAAAAAGAUCCAAUUGACCUAACUAAGAAAAGAACUCAAUUGAAAGUUUGACACAUGAGUAAAAAGUCAGAGAUCUAAUGGCAAUAAUUGAAAGAUCAAGAAAUUAAUAAAAAAUUUUGGUAAUAGAAAACAAAAAGCUUAAUGACGGAAUUAGGUGGUCAAGGGAUCAAUUACCACUCGAAUAAAGGUUGUAAGUACAGGUUGGAGACCUCUUGUGCAAUUUACUUUUAUUUUAUACAGUAUGAGAGUAGGAGAUUCCAAGUUUAAAUAUGUUUCAUGCCAUGAAACAAAAAAUCUGUAAAAGAUUAAGAUGCUAAAAAAAAAGAUAUUUUUAACAUUUGUAUUUAGAAAUGUCGUUUUCACAUUCAUCUCAUAUAGCUUCAAAUCAAAAUGAGUUACCAAAGAUAUAUAUGAUAAUUCUCAACAAAUUCCUUUUGCACACUGGAGAGAAGGUUUUAUGAUAAUUAAUGCAUUCCUUCUAAGUGAAAUCUUUGACAACAAAUUUAGCAUUAUAUCAUUCUAUAUUAUCUAAAGAGUCUCUUUUGGUUUUGAACACCCAUUUACAACCAAUUACUUUUACUCGUGGUAACUCAACAAGAUCUCAAAUUUUGUUAUCUGUCAUAGGUUUCAUCUCUUCCUUUUAGGCAUCAUACCAAAGGGAGGAUUUAUCUCUCUGCAUGACAUAUGAAAAUAUUCAUGGGUUUUUAUAGUGUCCAACACAUCAUAGCCAGACUCCUGAAAAUAGACUAUAUAAUCAUUAAAAAUUACUGAUCUCUUUUGUCUUGAUAAUCUUCUUAAACUAACCUCUUUCUGCAGAUUUUUUUUUUUUAUUAUUCUGUGCAGUUAGUUUUAUAAUUGUCUGUUUCUUUUGAGACAGCUUUUCAUGGAAAGGUUCAACUGGUUCAGUAUUUUUAUACUUUAGAAUUAGUUAGUCUCCAGUAUGAUCAAAUUAAUCUCUUGGGAGAGCAAUUAAAUCAUUAUCUAUUAAUAGAUAACCAGUAAGUCCUUUAUUUUAUCAAAAUUCAUCUUUUGAGAAACAACACUUCCACUUGUUUUAAAAUUUUUACGAAAUUUGGCAUUUCAAACAUCAACUAUCUUAAAUGAGUGAUUUAGAUAAUAAAACCUGAAUCCUUUCGAGUUUAACGCAUAGCCAACGAAAUAUCUACUGACUAUUCGAAAAUCGCUGUGAAAUAUAUUAAAGAGAACUAUUAGGAACGACCAUUAUGGCUGUGAAAUUAUUAUUUUAUUUUUUUAAAUAUAUUUUUCUAUUGUUACCAAUUUUUUUAUUUGUCCUUAAGUUAGGGACAAUAAAAGUAUUUUAAUUCUUUGCCCUUUCAAAUAUAUCUUCUAUCGUCGCCAAAUUUUUUUAUUUAACCUUAAGUUAGGGACAAAAAAGGUAUUUUGACUUUUUUUAAACUCCGAUAAAAAUUUAAUCUGGAUUUACCGAGAUGACUAAUUAAUAGAUACUAACAACAUAGUUAUUUUUAAAUAACGAAAAAAUAUACGAGAUAUGUACAAAAAAAGUACUAUCUAGGAGUUUAUAAUAUAUAUUAAAAAUUAUAUAGGUAUAUAAAUAAUUUUUUCUAUAAAAUAAUAAAAGUACUAUUCAUACAUUCAGAAGGAAUGUAUAUUAUGUAUCUUGCUUAUCUAAAGAGCGAGAUUUUUUUACUUAUGGUAUGGUAUGACAAGCGAAAAAUAUUCCACCAACCACCUUAGUCAAUCAUAUACACUGACAUGUGGGGUGUAUGAAUAGCUUUGUUUCAAACAGAAUAUACAUCGAAAAUAGGUUUCGUACGUCAAUCAUAUACUUUGACUUGUCGAGUGUAUGGAUAGCUUUGUUUCAAAUAAAAUAUAGAUCGAAAUAGGUUUCGUACAGGACCAAACCGCCAAGUUUAGAGUCUUUUUUGUUAUUUUGUUAUUUAUUUAUUUUUGGAUCCGUACCAUUAACACGAUUUGUCCAUUUUAAAAGUCUCCCUAUUAAUUGUCUCCACACAUUUGGAGAUUAGAGAGACUAGCCAACCACCCUAGAACUCCAUGGACUUGGUCCAAAGUUUUCCUUUUGUAGGUCCUAUACAUGCACAUAUUGAUCCUUUUCGUUUUGAGAUCGGUGUUCAAUCUUAAAAAGGGACCAAUUGGCUUAAGUAGUGAUGGCAUAACUUCAUCGUUCUAUGGUUUGCUUCAUCUUUUAUCUAAUUUAUCCUCCUCAGUUAUCUACAAAUCGGCUAUUAUUUAAAAUAUUUACUUAUGUUUAAUGAAAAAUAAUAAUAAAAAUGGAUGUUAUAAAAUAACUUGUUAGGAGACUCAUUCAUUCCAAAUCACAUGGACUCGGGCUGCAGUUCACUGUGGUCUUGGUCCAGUAGAACUAUAUACUCCUCCUUCCAAAUCACAUGGACUCUUUUCCACUAAUAUUACACACCAUCAAAUUUGACUAGUGACAUAUAGGCAUCUCCAUUCACUCCCUCCCCUCACGAGGAAUUCUACACUGUCACACUUGCACCACGUCAUCAAUAACAAGCCAAUCACAUUUCUUCUUUUUAAACAAAAGUACAAUAAAAAUACUUUUUUACAAUCAUGAUGGGACAUAUAUUCUUAAAAGGAUUAAUUUGAUUGGUUUGUUACGCCACGUCACUAAUAUACCCGUUGCAUUCUAGAAUUUUUCCUCCCCUCACACUACUCUCUCUCUCCCUCUUUCUCUCUCUCUCUCUCUCUCUCUCUCUCUCUCUCUCUCUCCUCUCCUCCCAAAAACAAUGGAGGAGAAGAACCCAAAAACACAACUCACCACCACCACCAGCAUCACCUCCACUCCUCCGAAAAGUACUGCUCCAUCCAUGGCCAGCUUGGAUAUUAAGCCCCGGAGAAACAACUACGCACUCGCCUGCGCCAUGCUCGCCUCCACAACCUGGAUCCUCUGCGGCUACGGUAACUAAUUCUAACACCAUUAUUAAUUACCCUACUUUUCUUUUCUAAAAAAGAAAAUAAAAAAAAAAGGAGUAAGACAGCAAUUUGCAUGCAUGAUGCGAUUGUUUGCUUUGGUUUAUAGACGUCGCAGUGAUGAGCGGGGCGCAGCUCUUCAUCAAGAAGGACCUGAAGGUGACGGACACGCAGAUCGAGAUCCUGGCGGGGGUCAUCAACCUGUUCUCGCUGCUGGGGUCGCUGGCGGCGGGGCGCACCUCGGACUGGAUCGGGCGGCGCUACACCAUCGUGCUGGCGGCCGCCAUCUUCUUUGCGGGGGCGCUGACGAUGGGCCUCGCCUCCGGCUACGCCGUGCUGAUGGCCGGCCGCUUCGUGGCGGGGGUCGGGGUCGGGUACGCGGCCGUGAUCGCGCCCGUGUACACGGCCGAGCUCUCGCCCGCGGCGUCCCGCGGCACGCUCACGUCCUUCCCGGAAGUGUCCGCCAACUUCGGCAUCCUCCUCGGGUACGUGGCCAACUUCGCCUUCGCGAAGCUGCCCCUCCGCCUCGGCUGGCGCGCCAUGUUCCUCGCCGGCGCCGUCCCGCCCGUCUUCCUCGCCGCCGCGGUGCUCGCCAUGCCGGAGUCCCCCCGCUGGCUCAUCAUGCAGGGCCGCCUCGACGACGCGCGCCGCGUGCUCACCAGGACCACCGGCGGCCCGGAUGAGGCCGAGCUCCGCUUACAGGUGCGUCCACCCAUGUGAAACUAUAGUUCAUCUUUAAUAAAUUUUUUUAUUUUUCAUUUCUUUAAUCAGGCAGUGUGUGUUUUCUAAAAGAAGGGUAAAAAAUUAUUUUUGGAAUUUUUUUUUCUAAAUAUUUUCUGAAGUAAAACAAAAAAAAAGAAAAGAAAAAAAUCCCGCUAAUUUUAUGUAAUAUUGAGCAACGCCGCCAGGAGAUAAAAGAGAGCCUGGGCGAGCACGCGAAGCGCAGGCGCGGGGAGGGGGUGUGGCGGGAGCUGCUGGUGCGGCCGACGCCGUCGGUGCGGCGGAUCCUGCUGGCGGCCCUCGGGCUGCAGUUCUUCCAGCAGGCGUCGGGCAUCGACUCGGUGGUGCUGUACAGCCCGCGCGUGUUCCAGAAAGCCGGCAUCGGCUCCGACUCCAACUCCCUCGGCGCCACGGUCGCCGUCGGCUUCACCAAGACCGCAUUCAUCCUCGUCGCCACCUUCUUCCUCGACCGCGUUGGCCGCCGCCCGCUCCUCCUCGCCAGCGCCGGCGGCAUGGUCGCCUCGCUCCUCGCCCUCGCCUCCACCCUCCACGUUAUCGGCGAUCGUGCCCACGACCAC
Molecule: long non-coding RNA, 7246 nt
Filed under: Ananas comosus (pineapple)
Lineage: Eukaryota; Viridiplantae; Streptophyta; Magnoliopsida; Poales; Bromeliaceae
Description: long non-coding RNA (ACOM_LNC019364)
Source: RNAcentral